This 254-nucleotide ribosomal RNA is filed under the name uncultured bacterium. RNAcentral's name for it is "partial 16S ribosomal RNA". It matches the Rfam family "Bacterial small subunit ribosomal RNA", at positions 524 to 776 of the family's 1533-position model. The record is from RNAcentral.
UACGAAGGGGGGCUAGCGUUGCUCGGAAUGACUGGGCGUAAAGGGCGUGCAGGCGGUUUGUUAAGUUCAGGGUGAAAGCUCCCGGCUCAACUGGGAGAGGUCCUUGGAUACGGGCAGACUAGAGUGUGGUAGGGGAGACUGGAAUUCCCGGUGUAGCGGUGAAAUGCGUAGAUAUCGGGAGGAAUACCUAUGGCGAAAGCAGGCUACUGGACCAUCACUGACGCUGAUCUGCGAAAGCUAGGGGAGCAAACAGG